GCCGGGUUUGCUCAGCCUGUAGAGCGCUUCACUGGAAAUGGAUAGGACCCUGGUUCGAUACCAGGACCGGGCG
Non-coding RNA from Ixodes scapularis (black-legged tick), 73 nucleotides. The record is from Rfam. NCBI's taxonomy places the organism in Eukaryota, Metazoa, Arthropoda, Arachnida, Ixodida, Ixodidae.